Molecule: non-coding RNA, 21 nt
Organism: Caenorhabditis elegans
Lineage: Eukaryota; Metazoa; Nematoda; Chromadorea; Rhabditida; Rhabditidae
Source: Ensembl
UUUUAAGCAUGGCUUUUGUAA